CUCCCAUUUCUGUAAUAGAUUUUUAAAAAAUGGAUCUGCUGAUUACAUCUAAAAGCUCUCCUUCCAACAUCUUCAACUCUGGCUCAGGGCAAGAUGUGGCGGUCCCCGCUCUCGUGCCUGAGGGUUAAAAGUCUCAGGAGCUGGCUCAGGCAGGUCUUCAGGGGCAGGGCUCAUUUCUGGCCCCGAGAGAGGAACUGCAGCCCCUUGCAACCUGCUGCUCCCUAUUUAAAGAGAGCGAGUUGGAGGUGGAGGUGUGGGGGGAGGAGAGGGAGAGAAAUGAACAUGCUUUGGAUGUAGAAUCAAUUUGAGUGUGACUCAAUCCCUCGGCAUUAAACUUUUCCCCUCAAUUAUUUCAAAUUUAUGUCUAUCUGCUGAAGAACCACGGUCUUAGCAUCAUCGGAGAGCAAAAUGGGAAGAUACGACCCACACUCAUGGCAUUUAUAUUCAUGAUGAAUCUAUGUAUCAAUCAGAAGCUAGGAAAAGGCUGAGAUGCUGAUUGUCCCCGCCCUGCAUGGAAUCCUGGACCAUUCUGGAAACUGGAGAGCUGGUGAAGUCGUGUCUGCCGAAAAACCACAUCUGGUUCACCACCGCCUCAACAGAUACACAAUGAAAUACAAAGGCCAAUUCUGCGGUGUACACAAUCCGUGUCAGUUUACCCAGAGGAUUCCAGAUGGAAUGAACUCCGCAGACGGGGUUCACGGAGCGCAGGCGAUGCUGGGGGAGGAGGUGAGCCACGGGUGGGGCUUGAAACCCUCAAGGAGCUCCCAGGGGUACCGUGAUCAGUCCACGGGGUGGGGGGUGGGGUGGAGCUCUCGCCCUGGGCGAGGUGGGGGGGGACCUGUGAAUCUUUGCAAACUCCGCCUUUCCGUGUUGGUUGACCAGCCACGCUUUUGCAGAGUUGCAAUUUCUCAAAGUAACUUUUUUUCCCCCAGCCCUCAUUGUCUCCCUUGGAAAUCGUAAGGCGAAUAUUGGUGCUGGGAGGACAUGUUGCGCUGCAGCGGUGGAGGCGGAGGCGUUUUACACGUUGUUAAGGUAGGAGUGACGGCAUCUGUAUUUAAACCUAAUAGAAAAUAUCAGCCACCGUUUCUUGAAUGUCUGCUCUAGGCCAGAGGCCGGGCUUAAGAAUUUUCUUUGCCUGGACACAGUUCUGUGAGGUCUCCGGAGGUGUGGCUCUUGAGCGUUUUAUAGAUGUGGUAAAGUGACCUUCCCCAAACUUGAGUGGCUUCGUGUUUUUGAUUGUUUACCUGUAUCUCAUUGAUGUUGAGUAUAUGCCCAGGAGUUUGUUUAUUUGUUUGUUUAUUUAUUUGCUUUUUAGGGCCACACCUUUGGAAGUUCCUGGGCUGGAGGCCGAAUGGGAGCUGCCGUGACCCGCCUGCACCAAGCCACAGCAACGCGGGACCUGAGCCGCGUCUGCAGCCUCACACCACAGCUCACAGCAACACUGGAUCCUUAACCCUCUGAGCAAGGCCAGGGAUUGAACCCGCAUCUCGAGGAUACUUGUUGGGUUCAUUACCAGUGAGCCACAACGGGAACUCCUGCCCAGUAGUUGAAUUGCCCUGUCAUACCUGGGUUUGCUGCCAGACCAUUUUCUAAAGUCCUGAUAUUAACCCAAGGAGCAGAGCCACAUUUGGGAGUACGUCUGGCUGGUGCCUGCUCUAAUAUUUUUAGACUCAGCAAUAUAUCCCAUCAAGAUGCCACGUGUAAAGAAUAGGGUCUUUCCAAGAAAACAUUGCUCCUGGCAAAUAGAGAUUUGUGGGGGGGGGGGGCGCGAUUGCUUUAUUUUGCAAACAUUUCUAUUAAUAUCUGACAACAACGUACCCACGACGUGGAUAAAUCUCAAGCAAACAGCUCAUUGAAUUUUUACAAAGUGAUUACUCCCUUGAGAGCUCCCCCCCAUCAAGGUACAGGGCAUGACUACAUUGAGAUCCUGCUGUAUAGCACAGGGAACUCUGUCUAGUCACUCAUGAUGGAAUACGAUGGAGGAUAAUGUGAGAAAAAGAAUAUGUGCGUGUGUGUGUGUGUGUGUGUGUGUGUGUGUGUGUGAGUGAUUGGGUCACUUGGCUAAACAGCAGAACUUGACAGAACAUUGCAACUAUAAUAAAAAAAAUGUAAAAAAAAAAUAAAUAAAAAUG
RNAcentral lists this long non-coding RNA (2132 nucleotides) under Sus scrofa (pig). Its description in RNAcentral is "lncRNA (ENSSSCG00050069490.1)". The record is from RNAcentral. Lineage: Eukaryota; Metazoa; Chordata; Mammalia; Artiodactyla; Suidae.